This 1522-nucleotide long non-coding RNA is filed under the name Homo sapiens (human). Its description in RNAcentral is "HSALNT0383643". The record is from RNAcentral. Lineage: Eukaryota; Metazoa; Chordata; Mammalia; Primates; Hominidae.
UCACUGUGCCUUAGAAGGCAGGAUAUAUAGCAGAUGCUCCUUGGACAGAAUUCCUUCCCUUAUUCAGCGCAUGCUUAUGAAUGCCUCCCCUGAGCCAGGCAAGCUUGAGAUGCUAGGAAUUCAGCUGUGGAAGUUCAGCUCUCAAGAAGCUCACAUCUAGGGUGCGGAGUUAGAGAAAUCAGACCGGCACAUGAUACAGAAGGGACUAGGUGCUAUGGAGAGACAUCAAGUAGCGUGGAGACCACUGAGACCCAGCCACUGGAGACCAUUAGCCUAGGGAGGUCAUUGGUGUCCUUGCCAAGCCCUGUUUUGGUUCUGGGUCCAGGAGACAGAGUGUAGUCAGAGGAGAGGAAUCACAGACAGCCCAGUGCAGACAACAGGCAACUCUUUCAAGGAGUCAUCUUAUAAAGACUGAAGCUGAGAGGCUUUUUUCCCAGUCAUCUUGACCACAAGAUCAGUUCUCUCCGUGAACAUAAAGACAAAAUCGCUGUGACACCAACAGACAGAUUUUUUAACAAGUGGAAUCCAUGUCUCAUGUAAACAAUGUGCUACUGCCUGCCAUUGAGUUCUCUUCCCUCGUUUUCCUUUUUGAAGACUUAACCCCUUUCCCAAAGGGACAUGUGCUCAGGUUUCUUGACUCCACAGCAAUCCCUUCUGUUGUGUAAGGCAAACUGAUCACCUUUCACAACGAGACAAGAAGUGAUUUAAAUCAGAUGGUGACCCAAUGACAAUGUCUGUGCUGUGUCCUAUGGAGAAAACCAAAGCUGAAAUCCAGUAACAGGUGAUAGGAAGAUGUGGAGAUAGAAACUGACCUGAAUUCUGAAAAACAACAAGAGAAAAGGAAGUCUGAGAACAAGCUGGUGUUCUUCCAAAACCUGUUCAUUGUGUGAAUUCCUAGAAGAUAGCGUGACACCGAGAAACAGGCUGGAGUGACACACCCAAACAAUUAUGCUACCUGGAUCUGCCAAGGCAGGAGGACAAACUCAGCAGCCUGGAGAAUGGAGGACACAGUCCAGAGUUGGUGAGCCAAGUUUUCUUCUGUUUGUUUUGCUGUUGCUGUUUUUGUUCUUGUUGACCUAUUGAGUUCUAUGAUGAGACCAAACGUUUAAUAAUUGUCUUCUAUUCUAAAACUUGUCUCUCAGCAACAACAGCAGCAAUUACUUUUGACCACUCACUAUCGGAAAACACUGCUUUAGGCUGUGGAAAUGCAGUAGUAGAAAAGCCAGGCAUAAUCCUUAUCCCCAUGGAGGCACUAUCUCCAUCCAAGGGCAGAGGACCUGCAAGCCCUGAGGUCUCCAGCUGAGGUUCCUCUCUGAAGGACAGUUGCACUUCAGGUCAUGCUGCAGUAUGAGAGAAGGCAGCGUGACAUCUUGAGUUUCUAAUGCUCACACCUGUCUCAGUGAAGCAUUUUUACAGAGUAAUCACCACCCCCCUCACACCCCCAACAAUGUCAUCAAGUCAUAAAUCUCCUUGGUUUGAAAUAUUGGAUUAAAAUAUGAUUAAACAAUAUGUCUCAAUGGAA